This 446-nucleotide ribosomal RNA is filed under the name uncultured bacterium. RNAcentral's name for it is "partial 16S ribosomal RNA". It matches the Rfam family "Bacterial small subunit ribosomal RNA", at positions 329 to 792 of the family's 1533-position model. The record is from RNAcentral.
UCCCAGACUCCUACGGGAGGCAGCAGUGGGGAAUAUUGCACAAUGGGGGGAACCCUGAUGCAGCGACGCCGCGUGGGUGAAGGAGCACCUCGGUGCGUAAAGCCCUAUCGGCAGGGAAGAAACAGACGGUACCUGACUAAGAAGCCCCGGCUAACUACGUGCCAGCAGCCGCGGUAAUACGUAGGGGGCAAGCGUUAUCCGGAUUCACUGGGUGUAAAGGGAGCGUAGACGGCGACGCAAGUCUGGAGUGAAAGCCCGGGGCUCAACCCCGGGACUGCAUUUGGAACUGUGCUGCUAGAGUGUCGGAGAGGCAGGCGGAAUUCCUAGUGUAGCGGUGAAAUGCGUAGAUAUUAGGAGGAACACCAGUGGCGAAGGCGGCCUGCUGGACGAUGACUGACGUUGAGGCUCGAAAGCGUGGGGAGCAAACAGGAUUAGAUACCCGCGUA